This 253-nucleotide ribosomal RNA is filed under the name uncultured bacterium. RNAcentral describes it as "partial 16S ribosomal RNA". It matches the Rfam family "Bacterial small subunit ribosomal RNA", at positions 524 to 776 of the family's 1533-position model. The record is from RNAcentral.
UACGAAGGGGGCUAGCGUUGCUCGGAAUUACUGGGCGUAAAGGGCGCGUAGGCGGAUAUUUAAGUCAGGGGUGAAAUCCUGGAGCUCAACUCCAGAACUGCCUUUGAUACUGAAGAUCUUGAGUUCGGGAGAGGUGAGUGGAACUGCGAGUGUAGAGGUGAAAUUCGUAGAUAUUCGCAAGAACACCAGUGGCGAAGGCGGCUCACUGGCCCGAUACUGACGCUGAGGCACGAAAGCGUGGGGAGCAAACAGG